GCCUGGGUGGCUCAGUUGGUUAAGUGUCUGACUUCAGCUCAGGUCAUGAUCUCACCGUCCAUGAGUUCGAGCCCCAUGUCAGGCU
Transfer RNA from Felis catus (domestic cat), 85 nucleotides. It matches the Rfam family "tRNA". Rfam says of the family: Transfer RNA (tRNA) molecules are approximately 80 nucleotides in length. Their secondary structure includes four short double-helical elements and three loops (D, anti-codon, and T loops). Further hydrogen bonds mediate the characteristic L-shaped molecular structure. tRNAs have two regions of fundamental functional importance: the anti-codon, which is responsible for specific mRNA codon recognition, and the 3' end, to which the tRNAs corresponding amino acid is attached (by aminoacyl-tRNA synthetases). tRNAs cope with the degeneracy of the genetic code in two manners: having more than one tRNA (with a specific anti-codon) for a particular amino acid; and 'wobble' base-pairing, i.e. permitting non-standard base-pairing at the 3rd anti-codon position. The record is from Rfam. NCBI's taxonomy places the organism in Eukaryota, Metazoa, Chordata, Mammalia, Carnivora, Felidae.